UUUAAAGCUUCGCUUGUAGAUGAGUCUGCGUCUUAUUAGCUAGUUGGUGGGGUAAAUGCCUACCAAGGCGAUGAUAAGUAACCGGCCUGAGAGGGUGAACGGUCACACUGGAACUGAGAUACGGUCCAGACUCCUACGGGAGGCAGCAGCUAAGAAUCUUCCGCAAUGGGCGAAAGCCUGACGGAGCGACACUGCGUGAAUGAAGAAGGUCGAAAGAUUGUAAAAUUCUUUUAUAAAUGAGGAAUAAACUUUGUAGGAAAUGACAAAGUGAUGACGUUAAUUUAUGAAUAAGCCCCGGCUAAUUACGUGCCAGCAGCCGCGGUAAUACGUAAGGGGCGAGCGUUGUUCGGGAUUAUUGGGCGUAAAGGGUGAGUAGGCGGAUAUAUAA
RNAcentral lists this ribosomal RNA (388 nucleotides) under Borreliella garinii. RNAcentral's name for it is "bacterial SSU rRNA". It matches the Rfam family "Bacterial small subunit ribosomal RNA", at positions 200 to 586 of the family's 1533-position model. Lineage: Bacteria; Pseudomonadati; Spirochaetota; Spirochaetia; Spirochaetales; Borreliaceae. The record is from RNAcentral.